RNAcentral lists this ribosomal RNA (131 nucleotides) under Castor canadensis (American beaver). Lineage: Eukaryota; Metazoa; Chordata; Mammalia; Rodentia; Castoridae. The record is from RNAcentral.
CAAAACAGCCAUACCACCCUGAACACGCCCAAUCUUGUCUGGUCUCAGAAGCUAAGCAGGGCUGGUCCUGGUUAGUACUUGGAUGGGAGACAGAUCUUCAGAGAAGACUAUUCAGAGGCAAGCAGUUUAGA